This 549-nucleotide ribosomal RNA is filed under the name uncultured bacterium. RNAcentral describes it as "bacterial SSU rRNA". It matches the Rfam family "Bacterial small subunit ribosomal RNA", at positions 355 to 895 of the family's 1533-position model. The record is from RNAcentral.
UAGGGAAUCUUCGGCAAUGGGGGCAACCCUGACCGAGCAACGCCGCGGGAGUGAAGAAGGUUUUCGGAUCGUAAAGCUCUGUUGUAAGUCAAGAACGAGUGUGAGAGUGGAAAGUUCACACUGUGACGGUAGCUUACCAGAAAGGGACGGCUAACUACGUGCCAGCAGCCGCGGUAAUACGUAGGUCCCGAGCGUUGUCCGGAUUUAUUGGGCGUAAAGCGAGCGCAGGCGGUUUGAUAAGUCUGAAGUUAAAGGCUGUGGCUCAACCAUAGUUCGCUUUGGAAACUGUCAAACUUGAGUGCAGAAGGGGAGAGUGGAAUUCCAUGUGUAGCGGUGAAAUGCGUAGAUAUAUGGAGGAACACCGGUGGCGAAAGCGGCUCUCUGGUCUGUAACUGACGCUGAGGCUCGAAAGCGUGGGGAGCGAACAGGAUUAGAUACCCUGGUAGUCCACGCCGUAAACGAUGAGUGCUAGGUGUUGGAUCCUUUCCGGGAUUCAGUGCCGCAGCUAACGCAUUAAGCACUCCGCCUGGGGAGUACGACCGCAAGGUU